GAAGUGCCACUGGGCUUGGUGCUCACAGAUACCUACUGCCUUAACUCUGCUGCAGGGAGCUCGGGGUGAUGGUCACAAACUGGCUUGUGAGAAGGGAUGGGCAACGUACAAACAAACCAAUUGCUGUUGAAAUGUGCUCUGCACAGAUGGUCAGCGAGGGAAAUAUUUCUUCCUGAUGCCUUCUGCCAAGAAGGAACUGCCUCAGUCAUAGCAUUUGAAAGCAAGAGGGACCUCCCAGGUGACCAUGGGAGAGGGGCUGUGUGAGAGAGCGCUGUUGUGGUCAGAGCCGGACACCGUGUGUAUCACACGCAUUGGUGAUCACAGGGAGAAUAAUUACUUCUGAUUAAUAGGCCAGUAAAGCAAUGAAAAGUGAAAAAUAUCAAGCACUUUUGU
This 393-nucleotide long non-coding RNA is filed under the name Columba livia (rock pigeon). Its description in RNAcentral is "partial uncharacterized LOC102091720". The record is from RNAcentral. Lineage: Eukaryota; Metazoa; Chordata; Aves; Columbiformes; Columbidae.